CAGUCGCCGCGGUAAUACGUAGGUGACAAGCGUUGUCCGGAAUUAUUGGGCGUAAAGGGCUCGCAGGCGGUUUGCUAAGUCUGAAGUUAAAGGCUGUGGCUCAACCAUAGUUCGCUUUGGAAACUGUCAAACUUGAGUGCAGAAGGGGAGAGUGGAAUUCCAUGUGUAGCGGUGAAAUGCGUAGAUAUAUGGAGGAACACCGGUGGCGAAAGCGGCUCUCUGGUCUGUAACUGACGCUGAGGCUCGAAAGCGUGGGGAGCGAACAGGAUUAGAUACCCCUGUAGUCCCUGUCUCUUAUACA
This 301-nucleotide ribosomal RNA is filed under the name uncultured bacterium. RNAcentral describes it as "partial 16S ribosomal RNA". It matches the Rfam family "Bacterial small subunit ribosomal RNA", at positions 509 to 808 of the family's 1533-position model. The record is from RNAcentral.